GAUGAAGAACGUAGCGAAAUGCGAUACGUAAUGUGAAUUGCAGAAUUCAGUGAAUCAUCGAAUCUUUGAACGCAUAUUGCGCUCUCUGGUAUUCCGGAGAGCAUGCUUGUUUGAGUAUCAGUAAACACCUCAACUUCCAUAUCUUUUUUGAAAUGGGAGUUGGACUUGAGUGAUCCCAACGCUUUUCCUCACCGAAAAGUGGCGGGUUACUUGAAAUGCAGGUGCAGCUGGACUUUUCUCUGAGCUAUAAGCAUAUCUAUUUAGUCUGCCUAAAAAACAGAUUAUUACCUUUGCUGCAGCUAACAUAAAGGAGAUUAGUUCUUGUGCAGACUGAUGCAGGAUUCACAAAGACAGGCUUCGGCCGACUUUGUAAACUCGAUCUCAAAUCAAGUAAGACUACCCGCUGAACUUAAGCAUAUCAAUAAGCGGAGGA
RNAcentral lists this unclassified non-coding RNA (433 nucleotides) under soil metagenome. RNAcentral's name for it is "partial contains 5.8S ribosomal RNA, internal transcribed spacer 2, and large subunit ribosomal RNA". The stretch from base 1 to 120 matches the Rfam family "5.8S ribosomal RNA", at positions 35 to 154 of the family's 154-position model. The record is from RNAcentral.